AUUGAACGCUGGCGGCAUGCUUUACACAUGCAAGUCGAACGGUAACAGGGAGCUUGCUCCGCUGACGAGUGGCGAACGGGUGAGUAAUAUAUCGGAACGUACCCAAGAGUGGGGGAUAACGUAGCGAAAGUUACGCUAAUACCGCAUACGAUCUAAGGAUGAAAGCAGGGGAUCUUCGGACCUUGUGCUCCUGGAGCGGCCGAUAUCUGAUUAGCUAGUUGGUGAGGUAAAGGCUCACCAAGGCGACGAUCAGUAGCUGGUCUGAGAGGACGACCAGCCACACUGGACAUGAGACACGGUCCAGACUCAUACGGGAGGCAGCAGUGGGGAAUUUUGGACAAUGGGCGCAAGCCUGAUCCAGCAAUGCCGCGUGAGUGAAGAAGGCCUUCGGGUUGUAAAGCUCUUUUGUCAGGGAAGAAACGGGAGUGGCUAAUAUCCAUUCCUAAUGACGGUACCUGAAGAAUAAGCACCGGCUAACUACGUGCCAGCCGCCGCGGUAA
RNAcentral lists this ribosomal RNA (500 nucleotides) under uncultured bacterium. Its description in RNAcentral is "partial 16S ribosomal RNA". It matches the Rfam family "Bacterial small subunit ribosomal RNA", at positions 30 to 523 of the family's 1533-position model. The record is from RNAcentral.